Molecule: transfer RNA, 84 nt
Filed under: Scleroderma citrinum Foug A
Lineage: Eukaryota; Fungi; Basidiomycota; Agaricomycetes; Boletales; Sclerodermataceae
Rfam family: tRNA
About the family: Transfer RNA (tRNA) molecules are approximately 80 nucleotides in length. Their secondary structure includes four short double-helical elements and three loops (D, anti-codon, and T loops). Further hydrogen bonds mediate the characteristic L-shaped molecular structure. tRNAs have two regions of fundamental functional importance: the anti-codon, which is responsible for specific mRNA codon recognition, and the 3' end, to which the tRNAs corresponding amino acid is attached (by aminoacyl-tRNA synthetases). tRNAs cope with the degeneracy of the genetic code in two manners: having more than one tRNA (with a specific anti-codon) for a particular amino acid; and 'wobble' base-pairing, i.e. permitting non-standard base-pairing at the 3rd anti-codon position.
Source: Rfam by way of RNAcentral
UGCCCCAUGGCUGAGUUGGUUACAGCGUCCGACUGUUACUCACCAUACAUCGGAAGGUCGUGAGUUCGAGCCUCACUGGGGCAG